UGCAAGUCGAGCGGUAGCACAAGAGAGCUUGCUCUCUGGGUGACGAGCGGCGGACGGGUGAGUAAUGUCUGGGAAACUGCCUGAUGGAGGGGGAUAACUACUGGAAACGGUAGCUAAUACCGCAUAACGUCGCAAGACCAAAGAGGGGGACCUUCGGGCCUCUUGCCAUCAGAUGUGCCCAGAUGGGAUUAGCUAGUAGGUGGGGUAAUGGCUCACCUAGGCGACGAUCCCUAGCUGGUCUGAGAGGAUGACCAGCCACACUGGAACUGAGACACGGUCCAGACUCCUACGGGAGGCAGCAGUGGGGAAUAUUGCACAAUGGGCGCAAGCCUGAUGCAGCCAUGCCGCGUGUGUGAAGAAGGCCUUCGGGUUGUAAAGCACUUUCAGCGAGGAGGAAGGUGGUGAACUUAAUACGUUCAUCAAUUGACGUUACUCGCAGAAGAAGCACCGGCUAACUCCGUGCCAGCAGCCGCGGUAAUACGGAGGGUGCAAGCGUUAAUCGGAAUUACUGGGCGUAAAGCGCACGCAGGCGGUUUGUUAAGUCAGAUGUGAAAUCCCCGGGCUCAACCUGGGAACUGCAUUUGAAACUGGCAAGCUAGAGUCUCGUAGAGGGGGGUAGAAUUCCAGGUGUAGCGGUGAAAUGCGUAGAGAUCUGGAGGAAUACCCGGUGGCGAAGGCGGCCCCCUGGACGAANGACUGACGCUCAGGUGCGAAAGCGUGGGGAGCAAACAGGAUUAGAUACCCCUGGUAGUCCACGCUGUAAACGAUGUCGAUUUGGAGGUUGUGCCCUUGAGGCGUGGCUUCCGGAGCUAACGCGUUAAAUCGACCGCCUGGGGAGUACGGCCGCAAGGUUAAAACUCAAAUGAAUUGACGGGGGCCCGCACAAGCGGUGGAGCAUGUGGUUUAAUUCGAUGCAACGCGAAGAACCUUACCUACUCUUGACAUCCAGAGAACUUAGCAGAGAUGGUUUGGUGCCUUCGGGAACUCUGAGACAGGUGCUGCAUGGCUGUCGUCAGCUCGUGUUGUGAAAUGUUGGGUUAAGUCCCGCAACGAGCGCAACCCUUAUCCUUUGUUGCCAGCGGUUCGGCCGGGAACUCAAAGGAGACUGCCAGUGAUAAACUGGAGGAAGGUGGGGAUGACGUCAAGUCAUCAUGGCCCUUACGAGUAGGGCUACACACGUGCUACAAUGGCAUAUACAAAGAGAAGCGACCUCGCGAGAGCAAGCGGACCUCAUAAAGUAUGUCGUAGUCCGGAUUGGAGUCUGCAACUCGACUCCAUGAAGUCGGAAUCGCUAGUAAUCGUAGAUCAGAAUGCUACGGUGAAUACGUUCCCGGGCCUUGUACACACCGCCCGUCACACCAUGGGAGUGGGUUGCAAAAGAAGUAGGUAGCUUAACCUUCGGGAGGG
Molecule: ribosomal RNA, 1407 nt
Filed under: Serratia sp. (in: enterobacteria)
Lineage: Bacteria; Pseudomonadati; Pseudomonadota; Gammaproteobacteria; Enterobacterales; Yersiniaceae
Description: bacterial SSU rRNA
Rfam family: Bacterial small subunit ribosomal RNA
Source: RNAcentral